RNAcentral lists this ribosomal RNA (392 nucleotides) under uncultured bacterium. RNAcentral describes it as "partial 16S ribosomal RNA". It matches the Rfam family "Bacterial small subunit ribosomal RNA", at positions 523 to 918 of the family's 1533-position model. The record is from RNAcentral.
AUACGGAGGAUCCGAGCGUUAUCCGGAUUUAUUGGGUUUAAAGGGUGCGCAGGCGGCCAUUUAAGUCAGCGGUUAAAUCGUGGGGCUCAACCCCAUUCUGCCGUUGAUACUGGGUGGCUUGAUUGCGGUCGAGGUUGGCGGAAUUCGCUGUGUAGCGGUGAAAUGCAUAGAUAUGACGAAGAACACCGAUUGCGUAGGCAGCUGCGCAGACCGGAAAUGACGAUCAUGCACGAAAGUGCGGGGAUCGAACAGGAUUAGAUACAGUGGUAGUCCGCACAGUAAACGAUGAAUACUUGUUUUCGGCGAUAUAAUGUCGGAGGCAAAGCGAAAGCGAUAAGUAUUCCACCUGGGGAGUACGCCGGCAACGGUGAAACUCAAAUGAAUUGGCGGGG